RNAcentral lists this transfer RNA (3048 nucleotides) under Marmota monax (woodchuck). The stretch from base 1116 to 1205 matches the Rfam family "tRNA". Lineage: Eukaryota; Metazoa; Chordata; Mammalia; Rodentia; Sciuridae. The record is from RNAcentral.
CUUAAUGGCUCGCUGGCCUUACUUCUCACACCACUCCCUCUGGCAAAAUGCCAGGCGCCAUCUUGACUUGUUUAGGACCCUAACAGAGGGGAAAGGAGAUCCCCGAGGACGUGGGGAAAGGGAGAUCCCGGAGGACCGAGGGGAAACGAGAUCCCCGAGGACGGAGGGGAAGGAGAUCCCCCAGGACGGAGGGGAGAGGAGAUCCCCCAGGACGGAGGGGAAAGGGAGAUCCGGGAGGACGGAGGGGAGAGGGAGAUCCCCGAGGACGGAGGGGAAGGAGAUCCCUGCCUGUGGCAGAACUGUCGAAGACCGAAGCUGCGGUCGGUGUCCUCCACCGCGAUGAGCGAACUCGGGGACGUGGCUCUAGGGGAGGGCCCGAGCCUCUGCGCGGGGCGAGGUAGGUAAGUCACCGCAGGAUGCGGGCGUGGAUCCCGCCGCCUCCCGCACGCCAAGCGCCAAGCGAGCGCCCUAGGGUCUGCGCCGCGCCCGCCCUGCCCCUGCCCUUCUCGGUGUCCGCAGCCACCUGGGGUCUCCGCCCUUCGGGGACACCCGACGGCCUCAGCAAGCCGGGCAGCAUUGCGCAAUGAGAGAAAACAUACAACCCUUGACCUUCUGAGUUUGGCUUAUUUCAAACUCGAGCUCCAUCCAUUUUCUUGUAAUGAUUUCGUUUUCUCUCUGCAGUGAGCUGACUUUAGCGCUUCGGGAGGACGGAGAGCAGUGUAUAGCUGGCCACAUGUGCUUUCAUGCCGGUAAACCCAGACUCUCUGAUAAAGAAAAGAGGUGCUCACUUAGGAGGGUAGGAUAUCAGCGAGAAUCGGGGAGAAUUCGCCCGAUAUUAAUUAUAAAUAGAAGAGGAGGAUAUGGGGUCUUAUUAGUGUUUUCGUUUUGAGAUAAAUAUGCAGAGAGCUUGAUGACUUUAGGUAUACCGCCCAAAGAAUUUUACAUAUUCGUAGACCCAUGAAACCCCAUAUCAGGAUCAUUACAUAGACUAUAGGCUAUUUUCAGUAUCUGAGAACGUUGUUUUUAAACGUGUUCAUACUUUUUAUAUAGGCAAAGCAGAAAUCAUCAGGGCACAAAUUAUUUUAAGUACCCUAAACAGUCACCCCCCCGUGUAUCCUUCGAUAGCUCAGUUGGUAGAGCGGAGGACUGUAGGGGAUCUGUAAACAGUCAUCCUUAGGUCGCUGGUUCGAGUCCGGCUCGGAGGAUUAGAGUUUUGAUCUAGACAAAACACACCUAAACCUGUUUGUACGAUUGUGAGUAGGUUCUCCUGCUUAUGUGUCUAAGCCAUGUCCAGAAUGAACUAGGAACUCAGUCCCUUCUGGAAGCGGUAGAUGAGUAGGCCUAAGUAGUCUUCCUACCAAGUCUGCUCUCACCUCGGGUCUGGAGGGUGCACCCCGCCGACUGGUGACCCCACGCAGGAUCCUACGACGAGGGGGUUAGUUUUUAUAAGGAUUUAUAAUUCUUGUUAGGAUUUAUAAGCAGCGGCCUUUGGGUUCUCAGUCACCUUGGUACUUUCUCAAGAAUUUUAAGGCGACAUUUCGAACGGUCACUGGAGCAAAACUUCAUCACCCAGACGCAGCCCCAUCCGUCCAGUCCCUUUUGCACACACACCCACCGCCCCCACCGGAUCCUUCCGCAAACCCGAGACGUGUCCCCAGUUCCCCGCGUUCUGUUUGGGAAAGGUCGGUGUGCAGGGCGAAAAGGGGCAGCACCCCUCAAUCCACCCAGAUGCCCACGCCCAGGAGUGGCGACAAGUGAGUGGCGCGUGGACAGGAGCUGAGUGUCUUGGGAGUGCGGCUGGCGCCUGUGCAGGGAGAUGUCUCGCGAGCUCUGUAACCGCAGGCACUUGCUACCCGCCCGUCACUCGGGGCUUACGCCCGUCCAGGCUCCGGGUGACCAAAGGCAUCUGCUCACAGCCCCUCGGGGACCCGCGGCGGUACAGGGCUGGCGCGGAGGGCGCCCCCUGGGGGACGGUCCGCGCCCGCCGGGCAGCAGGCUGGGUGUGCGGCCGGAUUCGCCCGCGGGACUCGAGGGGACGCGGGAUGCCAGCCCCUGGUCCCUCUGCGCCGCGCGCCCUCGUCCCGGCGACGUGCAUUUCUAGAAGACCCUCACCAGGCGGUGUGUUCUUGCCUCCCACGGAGAGGAGCCGGCUGAAAAACUCAUGAAAUAUUAGUUGUGCGCUGCAGACUCACUGAACAGGAUCUUUUGAAAAUGUAUUUUUCCAAGACGUUAGUUAUGAAGAACUUUAAUGAGUGAGGAUCUUUUGUAGAUAAAUUAAGAAUACAGUGUUUCCACAAAUUUCCUAACUCAUGAACUUCAUAAAAGACAAGUCUGUUCAUAUGGCUUCCUGUUUUCCCCGUCAGCGUUCAGGAGCCAGGAAGCUAAACGUCACCACUGGUGCGUGUUAGCAAAGCAAAGCUGACAGUCGUCUUCUAAAGGGAAUAUUUACACUUCUCUUAUAGGUGAAGAGCGUGCUGUGUUUGCUGGUUUUGCCCCAUUAUAACUGGGCAAUAUAGCAUGAGAUACCCAAUUCCUAAACGACACAAAAAACACCUCUCAUGUUUGGUGUCUAUAACUUGUGUCGAACCCUAAUUUUCCUUGUUUUUCAGAAAGCUGCAUCAGUUUCCCAAAUAAAUUGGGAAGUACUGUGCUUCAAGAUGGUGAGUCUUGAACCUAGCUGUCUAUUUUUAUGAAAACCUUACUAUAACCAUUCGGUUUCAGCAGCGGAAGGAGGCUGCUAAGCAGACGGAAGAGCAGGUGAAGUGCUAAGGGUGGUCCAAUCUAUUACACUCAAGGGAGCGACUUGGACAAUUGGUGGCAAUUUAAGAGUUACAUGAAAUACUUAUGCAAUAAAAAGCAUAAAUCUUGAAGUUCGUGGGAAUAAGUUUUUCGUGUUCUUGUAUAAUCACUAGUGCAGAUCAUUUUUAGAACAUCUCUAAUACCUUCAACAACUUCCUCCUGUUCAUGUGUUUUCAAGGUGGAUUUGAAUAGCCAAAAAUUAAACCAUGAAUGCAAUAUUUAAACUAUACUGCAGGAGGUCACAGCAUG